RNAcentral lists this ribosomal RNA (142 nucleotides) under uncultured eukaryote. RNAcentral describes it as "partial 18S ribosomal RNA". It matches the Rfam family "Eukaryotic small subunit ribosomal RNA", at positions 1299 to 1458 of the family's 1831-position model. The record is from RNAcentral.
UGGUGGAGUGAUUUGUCUGGUUAAUUCCGUUAACGAACGAGACCUCAGCUUAUUAGUUAGUUUGCACGUUCUCUCGGGAACGUCGCAAACUACCUAAAAGGACUAUCGGCUGUAUAGCCGGUGGAGGUUUGAGGCAAUAACA